Molecule: ribosomal RNA, 253 nt
Filed under: uncultured bacterium
Lineage: Bacteria
Description: partial 16S ribosomal RNA
Rfam family: Bacterial small subunit ribosomal RNA
Source: RNAcentral
UACGUAGGGGGCAAGCGUUGUCCGGAAUCGUUGGGCGUAAAGCGCGUGUAGGCGGCUCGGUAAGUCUGCUGUGAAAGUCCAGGGCUCAACCCCGGGAUGCCGGUGGAUACUGUCGAGCUCGAGUCCGGAAGAGGCGAGUGGAAUUCCUGGUGUAGCGGUGAAAUGCGCAGAUAUCGGGAGGAACACCUAUGGCGAAGGCAGCUCGCUGGGACGUUACUGACGCUGAGACGCGAAAGCGUGGGGAGCAAACAGG